CUUCGGGGAACGAUAACGGCGUCGAGCGGCGGACGGGUGAGUAAUGCCUAGGAAAUUGCCUUGAUGUGGGGGAUAACCAUUGGAAACGAUGGCUAAUACCGCAUAAUGCCUACGGGCCAAAGAGGGGGACCUUCGGGCCUCUCGCGUCAAGAUAUGCCUAGGUGGGAUUAGCUAGUUGGUGAGGUAAUGGCUCACCAAGGCGACGAUCCCUAGCUGGUCUGAGAGGAUGAUCAGCCACACUGGAACUGAGACACGGUCCAGACUCCUACGGGAGGCAGCAGUGGGGAAUAUUGCACAAUGGGCGCAAGCCUGAUGCAGCCAUGCCGCGUGUAUGAAGAAGGCCUUCGGGUUGUAAAGUACUUUCAGCAGUGAGGAAGGGGGUGUCGUUAAUAGCGGCAUCUCUUGACGUUAGCUGCAGAAGAAGCACCGGCUAACUCCGUGCCAGCAGCCGCGGUAAUACGGAGGGUGCGAGCGUUAAUCGGAAUUACUGGGCGUAAAG
RNAcentral lists this ribosomal RNA (499 nucleotides) under Vibrio sp. Its description in RNAcentral is "bacterial SSU rRNA". It matches the Rfam family "Bacterial small subunit ribosomal RNA", at positions 78 to 565 of the family's 1533-position model. Lineage: Bacteria; Pseudomonadati; Pseudomonadota; Gammaproteobacteria; Vibrionales; Vibrionaceae. The record is from RNAcentral.